This 491-nucleotide ribosomal RNA is filed under the name uncultured bacterium. RNAcentral's name for it is "partial 16S ribosomal RNA". The record is from RNAcentral.
CACGGAGUUAGCCGGUGCUUAUUCGUGAGAUACCGUCAUAAUCUUCUCUCACAAAAGGAGUUUACAAUCCUAAAACCUUCAUCCUCCACGCGGCGUUGCUGCUUCAGGGUUUCCCCCAUUGAGCAAUAUUCCCUACUGCUGCCUCCCGUAGGAGUCUGGACCGUGUCUCAGUUCCAGUGUGUCCGAUCACCCUCUCAGGUCGGCUACGUAUCGUUGCCUUGGUAAGCCAUUACCCCACCAACUAGCUAAUACGGCGCGGGUCCAUCUAUAAGUGAUAGUAAAACCAUCUUUCACUUUAGAACCAUGCGGUUCUAAAUAUUAUCCGGCAUUAGCCCCGGUUUCCGGAGUUAUUCCAGUCUUAUAGGUAGGUUACCCACGUGUUACUCACCCGUCCGCCGCUAACGUCAAAGGAGCAAGCUCCUUAUCUGUUCGCUCGACUUGCAUGUAUUAGGCACGCCGCCAGCGUUCAUCCUGAGCCAGGAUCAAACUCU